RNAcentral lists this ribosomal RNA (200 nucleotides) under uncultured Glomus. Its description in RNAcentral is "partial small subunit ribosomal RNA". It matches the Rfam family "Eukaryotic small subunit ribosomal RNA", at positions 591 to 796 of the family's 1831-position model. Lineage: Eukaryota; Fungi; Glomeromycota; Glomeromycetes; Glomerales; Glomeraceae. The record is from RNAcentral.
CCAAUAGCGUAUAUUAAAGUUGUUGCAGUUAAAAAGCUCGUAGUUGAAUUUCGGGGUUAGUAGGUUGGUCAUGCCUCUGGUAUGUACUGGUCUCACUGAUUCCUCCUUCCUGAUGAGCCGUAAUGCCAUUAAUUUGGUGUUGCGGGGAAUUUGGACUGUUACUUUGAAAAAAUUAGAGUGUUUAAAGCAAGCUAACGCUU